This 267-nucleotide ribosomal RNA is filed under the name uncultured bacterium. RNAcentral's name for it is "partial 16S ribosomal RNA". It matches the Rfam family "Bacterial small subunit ribosomal RNA", at positions 30 to 297 of the family's 1533-position model. The record is from RNAcentral.
AUUGAACGCUGGCGGCAUGCCUUACACAUGCAAGUCGAACGGCAGCACGGGAGCAAUCCUGGUGGCGAGUGGCGAACGGGUGAGUAAUAUAUCGGAACGUGCCCAGUCGUGGGGGAUAACGUAGCGAAAGCUACGCUAAUACCGCAUACGAUCUAUGGAUGAAAGCGGGGGAUCGCAGACCUCGCGCGAUUGGAGCGGCCGAUAUCAGAUUAGGUAGUUGGUGAGGUAAAGGACUCACCAAGCCGACGAUCUGUAGCUGGUCUGAGA